This 200-nucleotide unclassified non-coding RNA is filed under the name soil metagenome. Its description in RNAcentral is "partial contains internal transcribed spacer 2 and large subunit ribosomal RNA". The record is from RNAcentral.
CCCUCGCGCCCCCGGGCGCGGUGUUGGGGAUCGGCCGCUGCCCCUCGGGGCGGGCCGUCCCUUAAAUCCAGUGGCGGUCACGCUGCGGCAUCCCCUGCGUAGUAGCACAACUCGCACCGGACUGCAGCGCGGCCACGCCGUAAAACAACCCACUCUGAAAUGUUGACCUCGGAUCAGGUAGGGAUACCCGCUGAACUUAA